GCUCAGUCCGUGCUCUGGGCGCCUGUGGCCGUGGCCGAGUAGAUCAUUCCCCGGGAGCAGACAAGAUCGCCCAGCCUUUCCGUGCUGCUGCAAACACUCCUCCCUUACCCCAACCCUGUCACUGUCUGUUCAAGCUACCAGCAGCAGUUGUUGUGUGAACAUUGACGCUUCGAGCAAGCCCGGGAUUUGAAGUGCCUUGGAGUUAAUCUCGGAGUAUUAUUUUGCCAUGAAGUGUUCCGAGUUGGGAUGGAUAAGACUCAGUGCUUCCCUAAUCAUUGCACAAACAGUUGCAAUGAUGAGCCCCAAUGUUACUUCUGAAUUGGAUGUAACGUUGGCUCCACUGGAGGACAACACUGAAGAGUUUUUUGCAACUGAAACAGUCACUCAAGUGAACAACAACUUUACAGAUGGUUUGGAUUCAAUUAUGAGGAAAUAUUUGGAUCAAAAUGAACAGAGAACAUCCAGAAGGGCCAAGAGAUCUAUCACAGAUAUAGACAGACAAGUAAUCUUAGAUCUUCAUAAUAAACUGAGGGGUCAAGUCUCACCAAGUGCCUCUAAUAUGGAAUAUAUGACAUUUCAUUGAAAGAUUAUCAAAUAAAGUUGAAAGCCAGAUCUUGAAAAUGACAACUAUCAAGCUGUUAUACAGUUCCACCUGUUUCCUACUCUCUAAUAAAAUAUGAUAAAUCACAGACAUGAUACAAUACUUUUUGUAUUUUAUUAAAUUUAUUAAGCACUGAAAAGUAAAAAGAUGUAAAUUUUUAAAAUGUCACCAUA
Rhincodon typus (whale shark) is the source of this 774-nucleotide long non-coding RNA. RefSeq lists it as uncharacterized. Lineage: Eukaryota; Metazoa; Chordata; Chondrichthyes; Orectolobiformes; Rhincodontidae. The record is from RefSeq and is a predicted model, not a curated record. The transcript is spliced from 3 exons.